AAUCAACGCUGGCGGCGUGCCUCAGACAUGCAAGUCGAACGAUUAAAGCUCCCUUCGGGGAGUGCAUAAAGUGGCGCACGGGUGAGUAACACGUAAGUAAUCUACCCUCGAGUGGGGAAUAACAACCGGAAACGGUUGCUAAUACCGCAUAAUGCAGCGGCACCGCAAGGUGACAGUUGUUAAAGGAGUAAUUCGCUUGAGGAGGAGCUUGCGGCAGAUUAGCUGUUGGUAAGGUAACGGCUUACCAAGGCUACGAUCUGUAUCCGGUCUAAGAGGACGGUCGGACACACUGACACUGAAUAACGGGUCAGACUCCUACGGGAGGCAGCAGUCGGAAUUUUGGGCAAUGGGCGAAAGCCUGACCCAGCAACGCCGCGUGAAGGAUGAAGUAUUUCGGUAUGUAAACUUCGAAAGAAU
Molecule: ribosomal RNA, 417 nt
Filed under: uncultured bacterium
Lineage: Bacteria
Description: bacterial SSU rRNA
Rfam family: Bacterial small subunit ribosomal RNA
Source: RNAcentral